UAUUUGCUCCGUAGAUAGAUGGAAACUUUCAGCAGUUCUUCUAACAAAUAAAAUCAAUUUAUUAAGAAACUAUUUUAAAACAUGUGUUGAAAAUUAACCCUUAAGAGGAUUUUGCAAUUUUUUUCUUUUCCAAGGUAAAAUUCGCUGCACAAUGAAUUCCACUCAUUCGGAUGUGCUCCUAGGAUUGGCGGUUGGUUUUGUGCUUGCUGUAGUAGCCCAUAUGGCUACUGAAACUUACUCCGAAAAUAAGAAUGAGACGGCAGAUCCAGGCCCAGAUAAAGACCCUAAGCGAAACCCUAAACGCAAAGGCCAACGUCCAGGUCUAAAUAUACAAUUUAACUUUUCCUACGAGAAUCACUAUCACAAUUAAAAUGACCAAUUUAAAGCCGAAUGAACAUCACCCAUGAACUUACACGGUACAUACACACAAUGCAUUCAAGUACGGUGGAUUGGGUAUCAAUUACUCGGUGGUUACAUGCAAUCCAUCACUUUCAAAAAUUAUCAUCACGAAAUUGAUCAAUCAAUAAUAGAGAAUGCUAAUUUGCUUUACUUAAAAAAAUACAUUUUUUAUCUUCCAUGAAA
Molecule: non-coding RNA, 582 nt
Organism: Bemisia tabaci
Lineage: Eukaryota; Metazoa; Arthropoda; Insecta; Hemiptera; Aleyrodidae
Source: RefSeq, a predicted model, not a curated record